AGUGAACGCUGGCGGUAGGCCUAACACAUGCAAGUCGAACGGCAGCACAGGAGAGCUUGCUCUCUGGGUGGCGAGUGGCGGACGGGUGAGGAAUACAUCGGAAUCUACCUUUUCGUGGGGGAUAACGUAGGGAAACUUACGCUAAUACCGCAUACGACCUUCGGGUGAAAGCAGGGGACCUUCGGGCCUUGCGCGGAUAGAUGAGCCGAUGUCGGAUUAGCUAGUUGGCGGGGUAAAGGCCCACCAAGGCGACGAUCCGUAGCUGGUCUGAGAGGAUGAUCAGCCACACUGGAACUGAGACACGGUCCAGACUCCUACGGGAGGCAGCAGUGGGAAAUAUUGGACAAUGGGCGCAAGCCUGAUCCAGCCAUACCGCGUGGGUGAAGAAGGCCUUCGGGUUGUAAAGCCCUUUUGUUGGGAAAGAAAAGCAGCCAGUUAAUACCUGGUUGUUCUGACGGUACCCAAAGAAUAAGCACCGGCUAACUUCGUGCCAGCAGCCGCAGUAA
RNAcentral lists this ribosomal RNA (506 nucleotides) under uncultured bacterium. RNAcentral describes it as "partial 16S ribosomal RNA". It matches the Rfam family "Bacterial small subunit ribosomal RNA", at positions 29 to 523 of the family's 1533-position model. The record is from RNAcentral.